AACGAACGCUGGCGGCAUGCCUAACACAUGCAAGUCGAACGAGACCUUCGGGUCUAGUGGCGCACGGGUGCGUAACGCGUGGGAACCUGCCCUUAGGUUCGGAAUAACUCCUCGAAAGGGGUGCUAAUACCGGAUGAUGUCGAAAGACCAAAGAUUUAUCGCCUUUGGAUGGGCCCCGCGUAGGAUUAGGUAGUUGGUGGGGUAAAGGCCUACCAAGCCGACGAUCCUUAGCUGGUCUGAGAGGAUGAUCAGCCACACUGGGACUGAGACACGGCCCAGACUCCUACGGGAGGCAGCAGUGGGGAAUAUUGGACAAUGGGCGAAAGCCUGAUCCAGCAAUGCCGCGUGAGUGAUGAAGGCCUUAGGGUUGUAAAGCUCUUUUACCAGGGAUGAUAAUGACAGUACCUGGAGAAUAAGCUCCGGCUAACUCCGUG
RNAcentral lists this ribosomal RNA (434 nucleotides) under uncultured bacterium. RNAcentral describes it as "bacterial SSU rRNA". It matches the Rfam family "Bacterial small subunit ribosomal RNA", at positions 29 to 507 of the family's 1533-position model. The record is from RNAcentral.